CCCUUAGAUGUUCUGGGCCGCACGCGCGCUACACUGAUGCAUUCAACGAGUCUAAAACCUGCUCUGAUAGGGGUGGGUAAUCUUUUGAAUGUGCAUCGUGAUUGGGAUAGAUGAUUGCAAUUUUUCAUCUUCAACGAGGAAUGCCUAGUAAACGCAAGUCAUCAGUUUGCAUUGAUUACGUCCCUGCCCUUUGUACACACCGCCCGUCGCUCCUACCGAUUGAAUGAUCCGAUGAAUAUCAUGGAUUGAGGAUGCAAGCAGGUUCGCCUGUCUUCAUCUUCGAGAAGUGAAGUAAAUCUUAUCAUUUAGAGGAAGGAGAAGUCGUAACA
Molecule: ribosomal RNA, 329 nt
Filed under: uncultured eukaryote
Lineage: Eukaryota
Description: partial 18S ribosomal RNA
Rfam family: Eukaryotic small subunit ribosomal RNA
Source: RNAcentral